AUACAUUGGCCAGAACUCACAAGUCACAAUACAAGCACAAAGCAGUACUUCCAGUUCCAGUUCCAACUAAUUAGGUCUCGGAAUCAACAAGUCUGAAGCAGAAGAAGGAAAAUGAGCACCACGAAGACAUCGUGGCCGGAGGUGGUAGGCUGGCCGGCGGCACAGGCCGUGACGCAGGUCGGCACCGACAGGCCCGACGUGGCCAUCGAGGUGCUCCCAACGGGCACAAGCGUGGCCCCGGGGUUCAACAGCAAGCGCGUCCGCGUCUUCUUCGACGGGACCGGCAGCGUCGCAGCCACUCCAGUGGUUGGUUAAUCAGGCGCCGUCGUCUGACUGGGCUUGUUGCUCUGAAGAAGCGUUUUGGUCAGAUCUUAGUUUUGUAUGAGGAUUCUGAAGAUGCAUUUUAUCUGAAUAAUAUACUCCCUCCCUCCGAUCUUAAAUUCUUGCCGUUGUUUUAAAAACAAUUACGAGAAUUUAGAAUUGGAGGCAGCAGUCUUGAUAAAUGUGGCUGUUUAUGCUUACUUGAACA
This is a long non-coding RNA of Brachypodium distachyon (stiff brome), 529 nucleotides long. RefSeq lists it as uncharacterized. NCBI's taxonomy places the organism in Eukaryota, Viridiplantae, Streptophyta, Magnoliopsida, Poales, Poaceae. The record is from RefSeq and is a predicted model, not a curated record. The transcript has 2 exons.